This 496-nucleotide ribosomal RNA is filed under the name uncultured bacterium. RNAcentral describes it as "partial 16S ribosomal RNA". It matches the Rfam family "Bacterial small subunit ribosomal RNA", at positions 28 to 506 of the family's 1533-position model. The record is from RNAcentral.
GAUGAACGCUGGCGGCGUGCCUAAUACAUGCAAGUCGAGCGAACAGACGAGGAGCUUGCUCCUCUGACGUUAGCGGCGGACGGGUGAGUAACACGUGGAUAACCUACCUAUAAGACUGGGAUAACUUCGGGAAACCGGAGCUAAUACCGGAUAAUAUAUUGAACCGCAGGGUUCAAUAGUGAAAGACGGUUUUGCUGUCACUUAUAGAUGGACCCGCGCCGCAUUAGCUAGUUGGUAAGGUAACGGCUUACCAAGGCAACGAUGCGUCGCCGACCUGAGAGGGUGCUCGGCCACCCUGGAACUGAGACACGGUCCAGCCUCCUACGGGAGGCAGCAGUAGGGAAUCUUCCGCAAUGGGCGAAAGCCUGACGGAGCAACGCCGCGUGAGUGAUGAAGGUCUUCGGUUCGUAAAACUCUGUUAUUAGGGAAGAACAAAUGUGUAAGUAACUAUGCACGUCUUGACGGUACCUAAUCAGAAAGCCACGGCUAACUACGU